Long non-coding RNA from Oncorhynchus tshawytscha (Chinook salmon), 833 nucleotides. NCBI's taxonomy places the organism in Eukaryota, Metazoa, Chordata, Actinopteri, Salmoniformes, Salmonidae. The record is from Ensembl.
GUAGUGAGGAGGAGGAUAUACUGUAGUGAUAUACUGUAGUGGAGAGGAUGAGGAUAUACUGUAGUGAUAUACUGUCGUGUUGAGGAUAUACUGUAGUGAUAUACUGUGAGGAGGAUAUAAUGUAGUGAUAUACUGUAGUGAUAUACUGUAGUGGAGAGGAGGAGGAUAUAAUGUAGUGAUAUACUGUCGUGUUGAGGAUAUACUGUAGUGAUAUUGUCGUGUUGAGGAUAUACUGUAGUGAUAUACUGUGAGGAGGAUAUAAUGUAGUGAUAUACUGUCGUGUUGAGGAUAUACUGUAGUGAUAUACUGUAGUGGAGAGGAGGAGGAUAUAAUGUAGUGAUAUACUGUCGUGUUGAGGAUAUACUGUAGUGAUAUUCUGUAGUGGAGAGGAGGAGGAUAUAAUGUAGUGAUAUACUGUCGUGUUGAGGAUAUACUGUAGUGAUAUUCUGUAGUGGAGAGGAGGAGGAUAUAAUGUAGUGAUAUACUGUCGUGUUGAGGAUAUACUGUAGUGAUAUUCUGUAGUGGAGAGGAGGAUAUAAUGUAGUGAUAUACUGUAGUGAUAUACUGUAGUGGAGAGGAUGAGGAUAUACUGUAGUGAUAUACUGUCGUGUUGAGGAUAUACUGUAGUGAUAUACUGUAGUGAUAUACUGUGAGGAGGAUAUAAUGUAGUGAUAUACUGUAGUGAUAUACUGUAGAGGAGAUAUAAUGUAGUGAUAUACUGUCGUGUUGAGGAUAUACUGUAGUGAUAUACUGUAGUGGAGAGGAGGAGGAUAUAAUGUAGUGAUAUACUGUCGUGUUAAGGAUAUACUGUAGUGAUAUUCUGUAGUGGAGAG